GCCUGCUGUGUGGAGGAUUAGCCAUCGUCGAAUCAACAAGCGUUAGCCUGGCGUCGUCGGAUCUUGCGCUGGGGAGGACGGCUGUUCCUAGUGAGCUGUGGACUUCAAGCAUGGCAUUUUCCGCCAUGGAUAAAAAAUAGGCAUCGACCUUGGAAUUAUUGUUUCAGGGAGUUUGGUCCGGUACCAUGAGCAACAUUGGGUUUCAAUGAAUUUUGCUGUAUUAUUCGUCAUACCUUCAAUGAGCUCCAAUGACCGCCAACUUUAGCUUACAAGCUUGUUAGUUAAACAGUGUCUGUGAGUUUUAUAAGAGUACACUGUAAUACCCGGGAUUAUAUUUUUACUUCUCUACACUGUAAUUGAUUAUAGUGCAGCUGAUCAUUUUUGUUUAGCUAAUAUAUUCAAGUCAAAUUGCUUUCCCUGUGUGGUUGUAUUUUCAUUGAGUCAUACUGCAUUUAUUCUUGUUGCAUGAUGGGAGAACAUUCUGUAAACAGUAAGCUUUUAUACAUCUCUUAAUAAUAUCCCUAGCCUCUUGUUUUUCUCCUAGUGAGUCAUUAUCAGGUAAUUUACUGAGCUAUCCUUUCACCAUUAUUCCCAUGCUGGUCAAUCUGAGUCUUGUGAUGAGAGGGUUACAUGAGGAGUAUGGUAAGAGGAGGUAGUUACAGUACAUAAAGGUUUGGAUGGCUAUAUAUGCUCUAUGCUAGCUAUAGCCAUUAUAUUGACCUUCAUCAACAUGUUGUUGAGGGUCUUGCACUCAACAACCCCAAAGGAUAUAGUAGAAUUUCAUUACUGUAGGCUACCAAACCACCCCAGCUAAUAUAAUAUAACCAGUCCACUUCCUGUAGGCUACCACACCACCCCAGCCAAUAUAAUAUAACCAGUCCACUUCCUGUAGGCUGCCACACCCCCCCCCAGCCAAUAAAAUGUAACCAGUCCACUUCCUGUAGGCUACCACACCACCACAGCCAAUAUAAUAUAACCAGUCCACUUCCUGUAGGUUACCACACCACCACAGCUAAUAUAAUAUAACCAGUCCACUUCCUGCAGGCUACCACACCACCACAGCCAAUAUAAUAUAACCAGUCCACUUCCUGUAGGUUACCACACCACCACAGCUAAUAUAAUAUAACCAGUCCACUUCCUGUAGGCUACCACACCACCCCAGCCAAUAUAAUAUAGCCAGUCCACUUCCUGUAGGCUACCACACCACCCCAGACAAUAUAAUAUAACCAGUCCACUUCCUGUAGGCUACCAUACCACCCCAGCCAAUAUAAUAUAACCAGUCCACUUCCUGUAGGCUACCAUACCACCCCAGCCAAUAUAAUAUAUCCAGUCCACUUCCUGUAGGCUACCAUACCACCACAGCCAAUAUAAUAUAACCAGUCCACUUCCUGUAGGCUACCAUACCACCCCAGACAAUAUAAUAUAACCAGUCCACUUCCUGUAGGCUACCAUACCACCCCAGACAAUAUAAUAUAACCAGUCCACUUCCUGUAGCCUUGUCCUCUUCCUGUUGCCAGUCCACUUGUCAUCUCAAAUCCCCAUGCACCAGCACCUCCACUGACCCUAGUCCUGCUCCCUCCCUCAAUCCCUCCCUACCUCUCCCUUCCUCAAUCCCUCCCUAUCUACACCCCUCCCUCUUAUACAUCCCUGUCUGUCCG
Molecule: long non-coding RNA, 1658 nt
Filed under: Salmo salar (Atlantic salmon)
Lineage: Eukaryota; Metazoa; Chordata; Actinopteri; Salmoniformes; Salmonidae
Description: lncRNA (ENSSSAG00000095229.1)
Source: RNAcentral